Molecule: ribosomal RNA, 403 nt
Filed under: uncultured bacterium
Lineage: Bacteria
Description: bacterial SSU rRNA
Rfam family: Bacterial small subunit ribosomal RNA
Source: RNAcentral
AACGAACGCUGGCGGCGUGCCUAACACAUGCAAGUCGUGCGAGAAAGUUCCUUCGGGAGCGAGUAAAGCGGCGCACGGGUGAGUAACACGUAGGUAACCUGCCCCCCAGUCUGGAACAACUAGAGGAAACUCUAGCUAAUGCCGGAUGAGACCACGAUCCCUUCGGGGGUUGCGGCCAAAGAUGGCCUCUACUUGUAAGCUAUCGCUGAGGGAUGGGCCUGCGGGCCAUUAGCUUGUUGGUGAGGUAACGGCUCACCAAGGCUGUGAUGGCUAGCUGGUCUGAGAGGAUGACCAGCCACACUGGGACUGAGACACGGCCCAGACUCCUACGGGAGGCAGCAGUGGGGAAUAUUGCGCAAUGGGCGAAAGCCUGACGCAGCGACGCCGCGUGGGUGAGUGAAGG